AUUGAACGCUGGCGGCAGGCUUAACACAUGCAAGUCGAACGGUAACAGGAAGAAAGCUUGCUUUCUUUGCUGACGAGUGGCGGACGGGUGAGUAAUGCUUGGGAAUCUGUUUCAUGGAGGGGGAUAACUACGGGAAACUGUAGCUAAUACCGCGUAAUAUCGAGAGAUUAAAUGUGUGGGACCGUAAGGCCACAUGCCAUGAAGUGAGCCCAAGUGGGAUUAGAUAGUUGGUGAGGUAAUGGCUCACCAAGUCAGCGAUCUCUAGCUGGUCUGAGAGGAUGACCAGCCACACUGGGACUGAGACACGGCCCAGACUCCUACGGGAGGCAGCAGUGGGGAAUAUUGCACAAUGGGCGCAAGCCUGAUGCGGCCAUGCCGCGUGAAUGAAGAAGGCCUUCGGGUUGUAGAGUUCUUUCGGUGGUGAGGAAGGUUGGCGUGUUAAUAGCACGUUGAUUUGACGUUAGCCACAGAAGAAGCACCGGCUAACUCCGUGCCAGCAGCCGCGGUAAUACGGAGGGUGCGAGCGUUAAUCGGAAUAACUGGGCGUAAAGGGCACGCAGGCGGUGACUUAAGUGAGGUGUGAAAGCCCUGGGCUUAACCUAGGAAUUGCAUUUCAUACUGGGUCGCUAGAGUAUUUUAGGGAGGGGUAGAAUUCCACGUGUAGCGGUGAAAUGCGUAGAGAUGUGGAGGAAUACCGAAGGCGAAGGCAGCCCCUUGGGAAUAUACUGACGCUCAUGUGCGAAAGCGUGGGGAGCAAACAGG
This 762-nucleotide ribosomal RNA is filed under the name uncultured bacterium. RNAcentral describes it as "bacterial SSU rRNA". It matches the Rfam family "Bacterial small subunit ribosomal RNA", at positions 28 to 776 of the family's 1533-position model. The record is from RNAcentral.